This 472-nucleotide ribosomal RNA is filed under the name uncultured bacterium. RNAcentral describes it as "bacterial SSU rRNA". It matches the Rfam family "Bacterial small subunit ribosomal RNA", at positions 355 to 825 of the family's 1533-position model. The record is from RNAcentral.
UGGGGAAUUUUGGACAAUGGGCGAAAGCCUGAUCCAGCAAUGCCGCGUGAGUGAAGAAGGCCUUCGGGUUGUAAAGCUCUUUUGUCAGGGAAGAAACGGUGAGAGCUAAUAUCUUUUGCUAAUGACGGUACCUGAAGAAUAAGCACCGGCUAACUACGUGCCAGCAGCCGCGGUAAUACGUAGGGUGCAAGCGUUAAUCGGAAUUACUGGGCGUAAAGCGUGCGCAGGCGGUUUUGUAAGUCUGAUGUGAAAUCCCCGGGCUCAACCUGGGAAUUGCAUUGGAGACUGCAGGGCUAGAAUCUGGCAGAGGGGGGUAGAAUUCCACGUGUAGCAGUGAAAUGCGUAGAUAUGUGGAGGAACACCGAUGGCGAAGGCAGCCCCCUGGGUCAAGAUUGACGCUCAUGCACGAAAGCGUGGGGAGCAAACAGGAUUAGAUACCCCCGUAGUCCCUGAGCGGGCUGGCAAGGCGCAU